This 640-nucleotide ribosomal RNA is filed under the name uncultured bacterium. RNAcentral describes it as "bacterial SSU rRNA". It matches the Rfam family "Bacterial small subunit ribosomal RNA", at positions 261 to 916 of the family's 1533-position model. The record is from RNAcentral.
CGGCCCACCAAGGCUACGACGGGUAAGGGACCUGAGAGGGUGGUCCCUCGCAAUGGCACUGAAACACGGGCCAUACACCUACGGGUGGCAGCAGUAGGGAAUAUUGGGCAAUGGGCGAAAGCCUGACCCAGCAACGCCGCGUGCACGAUGAAGGCCUUCGGGUCGUAAAGUGCUUUUCUGAGGAAUGAGAAAGGACAGUACCUCAGGAAUAAGCCUCGGCUAACUACGUGCCAGCAGCCGCGGUAAAACGUAGGAGGCGAGCGUUAUCCGGAUUUACUGGGCGUAAAGCGUGUGCAGGCGGUUCGGCAAGUUGGAUGUGAAAGCUCCUGGCUUAACUAGGAGAGGUCGUUCAAUACUACCGAACUUGAAGGCAUCAGAGGAAGAUGGAAUUCCCGGUGUAGUGGUGAAAUGCGUAGAUAUCGGGAGGAACACCAGUGGCGAAGGCGGUCUUCUGGGAUGCUCUUGACGCUCAUACACGAAAGCUAGGGUAGCGAACGGGAUUAGAGACCCCGGUAGUCCUAGCAGUAAACGAUGUAGACUUGGUGUCGGAGGUGUCAAAACCUUCGGUAUCGUAGCUAACGCGAUAAGUCUACCGCCUGGGGACUACGGCCGCAAGGUUAAAACUUAAAGGAAUUGAUGG